GCUGGUGAUUCAUCGCCGUGGCACCACCCGUUCUCAUUCCGAACACGGAAGUGAAACGCGGUUGAGCCGAUGAUACUCACAAGGGGAAAGUAGGCAGUCGCCAGCG
Molecule: ribosomal RNA, 106 nt
Filed under: bacterium
Lineage: Bacteria
Source: RNAcentral